Molecule: ribosomal RNA, 301 nt
Filed under: uncultured bacterium
Lineage: Bacteria
Description: partial 16S ribosomal RNA
Rfam family: Bacterial small subunit ribosomal RNA
Source: RNAcentral
CAGUCGCCGCGGGAAUACGGAGGAUCCAAGCGUUAUCCGGAAUCAUUGGGUUUAAAGGGUCAGUAGGCGGUCUUGUAAGUCAGUGGUGAAAGCCCAUCGCUCAACGGUGGAACGGCCAUUGAUACUGCAGGACUUGAAUUAUUGGGAAGUAACUAGAAUAUGUAGUGUAGCGGUGAAAUGCUUAGAGAUUACAUGGAAUACCAAUUGCGAAGGCAGGUUACUACCAAUUGAUUGACGCUGAUGGACGAAAGCGUGGGUAGCGAACAGGAUUAGAGACCCCCGUAGUCCCUGUCUCUUAUAC